This 382-nucleotide ribosomal RNA is filed under the name uncultured Anaerolineaceae bacterium. RNAcentral's name for it is "bacterial SSU rRNA". It matches the Rfam family "Bacterial small subunit ribosomal RNA", at positions 987 to 1382 of the family's 1533-position model. Lineage: Bacteria; Bacillati; Chloroflexota; Anaerolineae; Anaerolineales; Anaerolineaceae. The record is from RNAcentral.
UACAAGUAGUAGGAAGGAAACUGGACCGACCUUCCGGGAGGCUUGUACAGGUGCUGCAUGGCUGUCGUCAGCUCGUGUCGUGAGAUGUUCGGUUAAGUCCGCUAACGAGCGCAACCCUCGCUGUGUGUUACAAGUGUCACACGGAACUGCCGGUCAUAAACCGGAGGAAGGUGGGGAUGACGUCAAGUCAGCAUGGCCUUUAUAUCCUGGGCUACACACACGCUACAAUGGGAAGGGACAAUAGGUUGCGAAGCCGCGAGGCGGAGCCAAUCCAGCAAAACUUCCCUCAGUUCAGAUUGCAGGCUGCAACUCGCCUGCAUGAAGUUGGAGUUGCUAGUAAACGCAGGUCAGCCAUACUGCGUUGAAUACGUUCCCGGGGCUU